ACGGCAUCCUCGAGCUGGCUCCCCCGCCAUUGGCCAUUGCAGAUGCCAUGUCACCUCACACUGAUACCGGGAACAAAAAGCCCCAGCAGCCGUCACAAGGCGCUUUUAUAGAUUCCCGCCGUGUCAGUCCGCGACUCCACCCUGCGGGCGCCUCACUCGGGUGUAUAUAUGACGCUCGUCUCUACAUCAUCAAACCAAAAGUGACGUGUCUCUUCGCAUUCCAUUCAAGAUACUGCUGCUGCCCAAGAGAAUUUCAUUACAUGGGAUGUGCUGCUGUAUUUCUAUAGUUUAUAAGCCAAUUUGGAGAGAGACACACACAGACACUACAGGACUCUGGAUCCCCAGCCGUAUCUCAAUAAAGCAGGGAGACAGCUGGAACGCAAAGAUACAGAAGUGUCCCAUCAACGUGAAACAAAUGACCACUACAUACCCGGGGAAAGGUUAGAAGAUCAAGCUAUCUGGUAUCCCAACAAAGCCUGAAUUAGGCGAAAUGCGUUGAUUACUGAACUGAUCCCCUGACAGCACAGCGAGGCAAACACUGCAUCCAUUUACAAGGAACGGACAUUCACCACCGUACACAGGUGAUUUCACCAGCCCUUUUGAGCAAACCCCGGAGGAGGGUAUGUGGACACGCCUCCUGUUAUAGGUCACGCCCCGUAGAACUACCCAGACCUGACCCUGCGUUCAACGGGGUUUGGGGAGAAAAAGAAACAGAGGAAUCUGUAAUGUUGACGCACUAACUAGAAGUAUAGUUAAAAUAUAGCCUUUAUUAGAUAUGCAUUAAAUUGUAUUAUGAAUCAUUGAUCCAGACUACAGUGAAACAUAGAGUUAAAAACUUGACAGUACUAACAUAUAUGUGAAUUAAAGAGAUGAAAA
Pseudophryne corroboree (corroboree frog) is the source of this 876-nucleotide long non-coding RNA. RefSeq lists it as uncharacterized. The record is from RefSeq and is a predicted model, not a curated record. Lineage: Eukaryota; Metazoa; Chordata; Amphibia; Anura; Myobatrachidae. The transcript is spliced from 3 exons.